AGUGAACGCUGGCGGUAGGCCUAACACAUGCAAGUCGAACGGCAGCACAGUAAGAGCUUGCUCUUACGGGUGGCGAGUGGCGGACGGGUGAGGAAUACAUCGGAAUCUACUUUUUCGUGGGGGAUAACGUAGGGAAACUUACGCUAAUACCGCAUACGACCUACGGGUGAAAGCAGGGGAUCUUCGGACCUUGCGCGAUUGAAUGAGCCGAUGUCGGAUUAGCUAGUUGGCGGGGUAAAGGCCCACCAAGGCGACGAUCCGUAGCUGGUCUGAGAGGAUGAUCGGCCACACUGGAACGGAGACACGGUCCAGACUCCUACGGGAGGCAGCAGUGGGGAAUAUGGGACAAUGGGCGCAAGCCUGAUCCAGCCAUACCGCGUGGGUGAAGAAGGCCUUCGGGUUGUAAAGCCCUUUUGUUGGGAAAGAAAAGCAGCAGGUUAAUACCCCGCUGUUCUGACGGUACCCAAAGAAUAAGCACCGGCUAACUUCGUG
Molecule: ribosomal RNA, 492 nt
Filed under: uncultured bacterium
Lineage: Bacteria
Description: partial 16S ribosomal RNA
Rfam family: Bacterial small subunit ribosomal RNA
Source: RNAcentral